Molecule: ribosomal RNA, 380 nt
Filed under: uncultured eukaryote
Lineage: Eukaryota
Description: partial 18S ribosomal RNA
Rfam family: Eukaryotic small subunit ribosomal RNA
Source: RNAcentral
CAAUAGCGUAUAUUAAAGUUGUUGCAGUUAAAAAGCUCGUAGUUGGAUUUGUGGCGUACGGUGUGUUCCGGGCACUUGUUGUCUGAGUAACCUGCUGUUGCCAUCCUUGGGUGGAACCUGUGUGGCAUUAGGUUGUCGUGCAGGGGAUGCCCAUCAUUUACUGUGAAAAAAUUAGAGUAUUCAAAGCAGGCUUAUGCCGUUGAAUAUAUUAGCAUGGAAUAAUGAGAUAGGACUUUUUUGCUAUUUUGUUGGUUUGCGCAAAGAGGUAAUGAUUAAUAGGGACAGUUGGGGGUAUUCGUAUUCCAUUGUCAGAGGUGAAAUUCUUGGAUUUCUGGAAGACGAACUACUGCGAAAGCAUUUACCAAGGAUGUUUUCAUUAA